Molecule: ribosomal RNA, 415 nt
Filed under: uncultured bacterium
Lineage: Bacteria
Description: bacterial SSU rRNA
Rfam family: Bacterial small subunit ribosomal RNA
Source: RNAcentral
UGGGGGAAUAUUGGGCAAUGGGCGCAAGCCUGACCCAGCAACGCCGCGUGAAGGAAGAAGGCUUUCGGGUUGUAAACUUCUUUUCUCGGGGACGAACAAAUGACGGUACCCGAGGAAUAAGCCACGGCUAACUACGUGCCAGCAGCCGCGGUAAUACGUAGGUGGCAAGCGUUAUCCGGAUUUAUUGGGUGUAAAGGGCGUGUAGGCGGGAAAGCAAGUCAGAUGUGAAACUCAGUGCUCAACCCUGAGCUGCAUUUGAAACUGUUUUUCUUGAGUGCUGGAGAGGCAAUCGGAAUUCCGUGUGUAGCGGUGAAAUGCGUAGAUAUACGGAGGAACACCAGUGGCGAAGGCGGAUUGCUGGACAGUAACUGACGCUGAGGCGCGAAAGCGUGGGGAGCAAACAGGAUUAGAUACC